Molecule: non-coding RNA, 1080 nt
Organism: Poecilia reticulata (guppy)
Lineage: Eukaryota; Metazoa; Chordata; Actinopteri; Cyprinodontiformes; Poeciliidae
Source: RefSeq, a predicted model, not a curated record
ACAGGGGAUGAAGCUACAACCAGGUGGAUGGUGCUGAUGAGCUCCAUUGAUCUGUUUCUCCCAACUCUGCACUCACUCAGAGGCCCCGGGGCCGUCUGGGGGCCCCAGUCCAUCCCUGCUACACCAGACCCACCUGGUUCUACCAGGUCGGGUUGGAGACCCGGCAGAGCCCACAGAGGCCCAGAGAGAACAAGAAGCAACUUUACAUAUUCAACGACGGCGAAGGAAACGAUUCUCAGCAGAGUGAAAAGUUUUCACGUUGAAUCAAACGGCACUUUGACAGAACCAGGAAGCAAACCUGCAGCAGCGAGCGCCACGAAGCUCAGCCAGCGGAUCAGGACCAGCGAUGCUCCAGCCAUCUUCUCCUUCAUCAGUCGCUAAAUGUCUCCAACAGAUCUGCUCUUCCUCCUCUAGAACGACGGUCCGGCUAAAAUGGCUGAAUGACACGCUGAACAAAAUGGCUGCUCCACUCUGACGUCACAUUUCAUGACGUAGCUUUAAAGGAGCCGGUCUGAACGCCUUCCACCAUUUCCUCCUGGAAUAUUYUGAUCGGUUUCUCAUCAUUUCGUCGCUUCAUGUYSUCGUCUCUGUCCAGCCAGAGCCGACGCCUCAGUUGGACUGAGAUCCUGGUCAGACCCAUCAGGAACACCAGCAGCUCUGCUUCAAUGCACAGCAGACGUCAUUUUAACGCUCAGCUUCAUCUCUGAACAUGAACCAACCGCUGCCCUGAUGUCAUAAAUAUCUUACCUUCUCACCUUCAGCAGAUCCAUUUUAAGGUUCUGAUGCAGGCGCAGCUUCUGUCCCACUGGCUGCUGCUUCCUGCUGGCAGCAACAUCCUGGAGGACUGAUUUGGUUAUUCAUCAAGGCGUUCCCUACCUGCACAGAGUCAGCAGCCUCCACCAGGUAGACUCAGGCCAGGAGGUGGACCAAUAGGAGGCCAGCGUUCGGCCUGCGGGUCAGAUCCAGCCAGCAGCGCCUCAUGGGGGGAACGAUUCAACAGCCAGUCGUACUUUUCCAGAUGUGAGCGAGUGACAGGCCUGUCGUGAUGAACAAUAAAUCAAUAAAUCGCAUCAUAAAUGA